GUAUGUGAGGGUGAUCUGGUCGUGACAUCUGUAACCCCAUUGAUCACCAGAGCUGAUUUGGCUAUCUGGUUGGCUAGACUGGUGUCCCUCCUUCCUCCCUCAUGGCACCCUGUACGUUCCCCCCCGAAACUUCAUGCUAGGUAGAUGAGGAUGAUCUUUCCACAUAGAGGAGGACCAUCCUUUGAUCAAGGGUAUACGAGUAGCUACACUCCCCAGCUAGAACCUCCAAACAAGCUCUCAAGAUCAAUAACUUGCUUUUGUUUUUAAUUAGAGUUGUAUUGAUACUAAUUUUAAGAAAAAAUAUUUAAAAGGCUCUACCUGGGCAUAGUAGCU
Ictidomys tridecemlineatus (thirteen-lined ground squirrel) is the source of this 333-nucleotide non-coding RNA. NCBI's taxonomy places the organism in Eukaryota, Metazoa, Chordata, Mammalia, Rodentia, Sciuridae. The record is from Rfam.